UGUUUCGGCUAGGGGGUCAUCCCGACUUACCAACCCGAUGCAAACUACGAAUACCGAAGAAUGUUAUCACGGGAGACACACGGCGGGUGCUAACGUCCGUCGUGAAGAGGGAAACAACCCAGACCGCCAGCUAAGGUCCCAAAGUCAUGGUUAAGUGGGAAACGAUGUGGGAAGGCACAGACAGCCAGGAUGUUGGCUUAGAAGCAGCCAUCAUUUAAAGAAAGCGUAAUAGCUCACUGGUCGAGUCGGCCUGCGCGGAAGAUGUAACGGGGCUAAACCAUGCACCGAAGCUGCGGCAGCGACACGAUGUGUUGUUGGGUAGGGGAGCG
This 329-nucleotide ribosomal RNA is filed under the name Klebsiella pneumoniae. RNAcentral describes it as "partial 23S ribosomal RNA". It matches the Rfam family "Bacterial large subunit ribosomal RNA", at positions 911 to 1238 of the family's 2925-position model. The record is from RNAcentral. Lineage: Bacteria; Pseudomonadati; Pseudomonadota; Gammaproteobacteria; Enterobacterales; Enterobacteriaceae. RNAcentral also lists the same sequence under 4 other names.